Molecule: ribosomal RNA, 423 nt
Filed under: uncultured bacterium
Lineage: Bacteria
Description: bacterial SSU rRNA
Rfam family: Bacterial small subunit ribosomal RNA
Source: RNAcentral
AAGACCUUGCACUUUUGGAGCGGCCGAUGUCUGAUUAGCUAGUUGGUGGGGUAAUGGCCUACCAAAGCUUCGAUCAGUAGCUGGUCUGAGAGGACGGCCAGCCACACUGGGACUGAGACACGGCCCAGACUCCUACGGGAGGCAGCAGUGGGGAAUUUUGGACAAUGGGGGCAACCCUGAUCCAGCCAUGCCGCGUGAGUGAAGAAGGCCUUCGGGUUGUAAAGCUCUUUCAGCCGGAACGAAACGGUUACGGUUAAUACCCGUGAUUACUGACGGUACCGGAAGAAGAAGCACCGGCUAACUACGUGCCAGCAGCCGCGGUAAUACGUAGGGUGCGAGCGUUAAUCGGAAUUACUGGGCGUAAAGCGUGCGCAGGUGGUUUUGUAAGUCAGAUGUGAAAGCCCCGGGCUCAACCUGGGAACU